GGAGAGAUGGCUCAACAGUUAAGAGCACUUUUUCUUGCAGAGAGAAAAACUGGGGUUUGAAUCCCAUCACUCCC
This 74-nucleotide transfer RNA is filed under the name Mesocricetus auratus (golden hamster). It matches the Rfam family "tRNA". Rfam says of the family: Transfer RNA (tRNA) molecules are approximately 80 nucleotides in length. Their secondary structure includes four short double-helical elements and three loops (D, anti-codon, and T loops). The record is from Rfam by way of RNAcentral. Lineage: Eukaryota; Metazoa; Chordata; Mammalia; Rodentia; Cricetidae.